RNAcentral lists this ribosomal RNA (723 nucleotides) under Triticum aestivum (bread wheat). RNAcentral's name for it is "partial small subunit ribosomal RNA". The record is from RNAcentral. Lineage: Eukaryota; Viridiplantae; Streptophyta; Magnoliopsida; Poales; Poaceae.
AUGACAGGGCGCCGCGACAUGCUCUCGGAGCUCGACGAGACAGUACGAGGUACAGUUCGCUUCGGUGAUGGCUCUGUCGUGCAGAUCUAUGGACGCAACGUUGUGCUAUUUUGGUGCCGUAGCGGAGAACAUCGGGCACUCGCGGACGUGUACUACAUCCCACAGCUGCGCACGAGCAUCGUCAGCAUCGGUCAACUUGACGAGCACGGGUGCAGGACCGUCAUUGAGGAAGGCGAGCUUUGUCUGUACGACAGGCAGAAGCUGCUACUGGCGCGGGUGCGGCGGACGAGCAACCGGCUUUACGCCGUGGCUCUGAACUUGGCCGCUCCCGUGUGCCUGCUCGCCGGAGUCCAGGACGAGGCCUGGAGGUGGCAUGCCAGGUUUGGGCACCUGCACUUCCGCGCGCUGCACGAACUCGGGGCGAAGACCAUGGUGCGCGGGAUGCCAUCGAUCGCGCACCUCGACCAGUUCUGUGAGGGCUGCACCAUUGGGAAGAUGCAUCGGACGCCCUUCCCGCGCGCGUCGGCGUACCGCACUGAGGGCGCGCUCGAGCUCGUUCAUGGUGAUCUGUGCGGGCCAAUCACUCCAACGACGGCCAGCGGUAACAAGUAUUUCCUGUUGAUCGUUGAUGAUUUCAGUAGAUACAUGUGGCUUGAGGUAUUGAAGAGCAAAGAUGAGGCGUUUUGCUACUUCAAGAAGAUUAAGGCGCUGGCGGAGACAUAG